AAGGUCGUAACAAGGUUUCCGUAGGUGAACCUGCGGAAGGAUCAUUAAUGUAACCGGAUCGGUUCGUGGCAGGUGAGAGCUUGUCGCGGGUCGCGAACGGGAAAUUAUCAUACACCCUGUGUUAAACUUUGACCUUUCGUUGCUUUGGCGGGCCCGUCCGCAAGGCGUCAGCUCCGGCUGACCGCGCCCGCCAGAGGACCCGAAACCUCUUUUGAUCAGUGAUGUCGAGUACUAUAUAAUAGGUUAAAAAU
Molecule: unclassified non-coding RNA, 251 nt
Filed under: plant metagenome
Description: partial contains small subunit ribosomal RNA and internal transcribed spacer 1
Rfam family: Eukaryotic small subunit ribosomal RNA (bases 1-47)
Source: RNAcentral